RNAcentral lists this ribosomal RNA (987 nucleotides) under uncultured bacterium. RNAcentral describes it as "bacterial SSU rRNA". It matches the Rfam family "Bacterial small subunit ribosomal RNA", at positions 8 to 1030 of the family's 1533-position model. The record is from RNAcentral.
AGAGUUUGAUCAUGGCUCAGAAUCAACGCUGGCGGCGCGCUUAACACAUGCAAGUCGCACGAGAAAGUGGGAAACCAUGAGUACAGUGGCGUACGGGUGAGUAACACGUGGGUAAUCUACCUCUGAGUGGGGAAUAACCCUGGGAAACCGGGGCUAAUACCGCAUAAUCUCGAGAGAGGAAAGCAGCAAUGCGCUGAGAGAGGAGCCCGCGGCCGAUUAGCUAGUUGGUAGGGUAAGAGCCUACCAAGGCAGAGAUCGGUAGCCGGCCUGAGAGGGCACACGGCCACACUGGCACUGAAACACGGGCCAGACUCCUACGGGAGGCAGCAGUGGGGAAUCUUGCACAAUGGGGGAAACCCUGAUGCAGCGACGCCGCGUGAGCGAUGAAGCCCUUCGGGGUGUAAAGCUCUUUCGUCAGGGAAGAUCAUGACGGUACCUGGAGAAGCAGCUGCGGCUAACUACGUGCCAGCAGCCGCGGUAAUACGUAGGCAGCGAGCGUUGUUCGGAGUUACUGGGCGUAAAGGGUGUGUAGGCGGUUCUUUAAGUUUGGUGUGAAAUCUCCCGGCUCAACCGGGAGGGUGCGCCGAAUACUGAGGGACUUGGAGUGCGGGAGAGGAAAGUGGAAUUCCUGGUGUAGCGGUGAAAUGCGUAGAUAUCAGGAGGAACACCGGUGGUGUAGACGGCUUUCUGGACCGUAACUGACGCUGAGACACGAAAGCGUGGGUAGCAAACAGGAUUAGAUACCCUGGUAGUCCACGCCCUAAACGAUGCAUAUUUGGUGUGGGUCAUUCAGUUGAUCCGUGCCGGAGCUAACGCGUUAAAUAUGCCGCCUGGGGAGUACAGUCGCAAGGCUGAAACUCAAAGGAAUUGACGGGGCCCGCACAAGCGGUGGAGCAUGUGGUUCAUUCGACGCACGCGAAGAACCUUACCUGGGCUCGAACGGCUGGUCAACGGAGGUGGAAACAUCUUUACCCCGCAAGGGGGUCA